Molecule: ribosomal RNA, 253 nt
Filed under: uncultured bacterium
Lineage: Bacteria
Description: partial 16S ribosomal RNA
Rfam family: Bacterial small subunit ribosomal RNA
Source: RNAcentral
UACGUAGGGUCCGAGCGUUGUCCGGAAUUAUUGGGCGUAAAGGGCUCGUAGGCGGUUCGUCACGUCGGGAGUGAAAACUCGGAGCUUAACUCCGAGCCUGCGUCCGAUACGGGCAGACUAGAGGUAGGCAGGGGAGAGCGGAACUCCUGGUGUAGCGGUGAAAUGCGCAGAUAUCAGGAAGAACACCCGUGGCGAAGGCGGCUCUCUGGGACGGUACUGACGCUGAGACGCGAAAGCGUGGGGAGCGAACAGG